Molecule: ribosomal RNA, 501 nt
Filed under: Triticum aestivum (bread wheat)
Lineage: Eukaryota; Viridiplantae; Streptophyta; Magnoliopsida; Poales; Poaceae
Description: partial small subunit ribosomal RNA
Source: RNAcentral
AUGGACCUCAAAGCUGAUGCAAUAAUGCAUGAACUUGCCAAAAGGACACUCUGUUUAUUAGGGUCGUUUCAGUUUUCAAGUGUCAUCAGUGAUACAUGGAUGGAUGGUGUCGCCAUUGCUCCACUGCCCCAUGUUUUGGUUGUUUUGGUCCACGACCAAGGCAAGUCUGUUGUUACCAUUAUCUUCUUGGGAGUACUUGAGAAGGCGUGGCUGGGAAUGUGGGGACACGCCAUGGUAGAGGCGCGUGGUCGGCAGGAGGAGUCAUGGAGGCAUGAAGGUGGACAUGUGGAUGUUAUCGUGGCAUUGACACAUUUCGCUCCACCGAUGCUACAUACCAGGACGCGUACGAUUCGCUUGAUUCGGGUGGGAACAUUACAAUCAAGUGGGCACUGGAAUGAUCAUGUGAUGCAUUGUUUGAAGUUAAGACUAAUUCAGUUCAGUCUGUUUGAAGCUAAGACAAAUUUCCUUGGCAUUUCACUAGAUGUGGUGUUAAUGGCCUGA